This 1229-nucleotide ribosomal RNA is filed under the name Vibrio parahaemolyticus. Its description in RNAcentral is "bacterial LSU rRNA". It matches the Rfam family "Bacterial large subunit ribosomal RNA", at positions 1017 to 2231 of the family's 2925-position model. Lineage: Bacteria; Pseudomonadati; Pseudomonadota; Gammaproteobacteria; Vibrionales; Vibrionaceae. The record is from RNAcentral.
GGGAAACAACCCAGACCGCCAGCUAAGGUCCCAAAUUACUACUAAGUGGGAAACGAUGUGGGAAGGCUCAGACAGCCAGGAUGUUGGCUUAGAAGCAGCCAUCAUUUAAAGAAAGCGUAAUAGCUCACUGGUCGAGUCGGCCUGCGCGGAAGAUGUAACGGGGCUAAGUAGUAAACCGAAGCUGCGGCAAUAUACUUUUGUAUAUUGGGUAGGGGAGCGUUCUGUAAGCGGUUGAAGGUGUGUGGUAACGCAUGCUGGACGUAUCAGAAGUGCGAAUGCUGACAUGAGUAACGAUAAAGGGGGUGAAAAACCUCCUCGCCGGAAGACCAAGGGUUCCUGUCCAACGUUAAUCGGGGCAGGGUAAGUCGACCCCUAAGGCGAGGCCGAAAGGCGUAGUCGAUGGGAAACGGGUUAAUAUUCCCGUACUUCUUACAAUUGCGAUGGGGGGACGGAGAAGGCUAGGUGGGCCUGGCGACGGUUGUCCAGGUUCAAGUGCGUAGGCUUAAGAGUUAGGUAAAUCCGGCUCUUUCUAAGGCUGAGACACGACGUCGAGCACCUACGGGUGUGAAGUCAUUGAUGCCAUGCUUCCAGGAAAAGCCUCUAAGCUUCAGAUUGUAAGGAAUCGUACCCCAAACCGACACAGGUGGUCGGGUAGAGAAUACCAAGGCGCUUGAGAGAACUCGGGUGAAGGAACUAGGCAAAAUGGUACCGUAACUUCGGGAGAAGGUACGCUCUUGAUGGUGAAGUCCCUUACGGAUGGAGCUGACGAGAGUCGCAGAUACCAGGUGGCUGCAACUGUUUAUUAAAAACACAGCACUGUGCAAAAUCGUAAGAUGACGUAUACGGUGUGACGCCUGCCCGGUGCCGGAAGGUUAAUUGAUGGGGUUAGACUUCGGUCGAAGCUCUUGAUCGAAGCCCCGGUAAACGGCGGCCGUAACUAUAACGGUCCUAAGGUAGCGAAAUUCCUUGUCGGGUAAGUUCCGACCUGCACGAAUGGCGUAAUGAUGGCCACGCUGUCUCCACCCGAGACUCAGUGAAAUUGAAAUCGCUGUGAAGAUGCAGUGUACCCGCGGCUAGACGGAAAGACCCCGUGAACCUUUACUACAGCUUGGCACUGAACAUUGACCCUACAUGUGUAGGAUAGGUGGGAGGCUUUGAAGCACGUACGCCAGUAUGUGUGGAGCCGUCCUUGAAAUACCACCCUUGUAGUGUUGAUGUUCUAACGUCGA